CCUCACCUGUUCAAGAUAUACCUUAUAUAAGCAGCCAGCCUCAUUGGGACAAAUCCAGAUCCCACGGCGACUGUGUUUGGUGGUUAUGACAGAUUUUGGCUGCAGGAAGACGUCAGCACCUCCUUCAAUAGGUGUCUCAACAUCCCUCCUUAACAGGAAGGCUACAGCUUCAACCAUUUUACCAUCCGACCAUCUUACCUCUGUGAGCUUUACAGAUCGCACAGGUAUUUUUUCACCUUUUCAUUUGUUUCCAUACUAGCCCCUUUCCCUUGCAGUUUCUUUUCCCACCUUCCUCUUAUUCACCUGUUUUCAUGAUUUCAUUCACAUGCACACACACCCAUAGAUCACUCAUACACUUAUAGUCACAGGAUUAUUAUCAGCUUUUUUUUUUUUUUUUCAUUUGUAUUCCUCUUUCUUCUCUUUUUCACUGUAACAUUCCCCAUAUUUCCUGUUCCCCUUUCAUUUCUUUUCUCCCCUUGUUGUUUUCCAUUUUUCUUUGCUUUCCCACCUCACACUGCUGCUCUACCACAUCCCUUUUAUAUACACUUCCACAUUUUUCACUAGACCACACACUGCAUUCUUCAUUGUUAUUCAGUCACUUACACACCUUCUUUGCUUUAUGUACUUUUACCAGGCUCAUUAUUUUUGGUUUGUUUUCACUCUUUGUCCUAUUGUUGUUUUGUUGUUUCCCCUCAUUCCCACAUCUCUUUUUCUCCCCUGUGCAUCUCCCUCACGCAAUUUCCAUGCCUACACAUCAGGCUUCUUGUUCAGCCUGGCGUGUACUCAUAUAUUUACCAUUUUUAUUUU
This is a long non-coding RNA of Rana temporaria (common frog), 807 nucleotides long. RefSeq lists it as uncharacterized. The transcript has 2 exons. Lineage: Eukaryota; Metazoa; Chordata; Amphibia; Anura; Ranidae. The record is from RefSeq and is a predicted model, not a curated record.